This 732-nucleotide long non-coding RNA is filed under the name Phoenix dactylifera (date palm). Its description in RNAcentral is "long non-coding RNA (PDAC_LNC018859)". Lineage: Eukaryota; Viridiplantae; Streptophyta; Magnoliopsida; Arecales; Arecaceae. The record is from RNAcentral.
AAAGGAAAUAAAGUAUAUUUCCAUUUCUUAGUCUUCUGUGUCUUGUAUCUGUAAUGACAUCAUGAAUAUCUGGAAUUAGAAUUUGAUAGAAAACUAUCUCACUUGGAUCACACAUUUUGAGAGAGUGUUUGAAUGGAUGGCAUUUUUAUUCAAUUUUUUUAUAUUCAUAUGUUUACCUAUUCGGACCAUGCAUGAAUAUCAGAAAACAUUUGGGUCCCAUGAUAGUUGCCCCACUUUUCAGUGGGCUUCAAGAAGGGGGCAUCCAGGUGCUAUUCUUGUUCCGCAGGACAGCAUGAACAGCUAAAGAUCCUUGGGUUAGACUUUGGAUAUGAACGAUUUUUUAGUGCUAUAUUUAUUUCACAGAUCAACUUCAUCAGACACCAUACAGCAAAUUUUAAACUCUUCAGUAUUAGGUUAAGAGCUUACUGGCAUUUGUUGCUUCUAAUAUUUUAUUCUUUAUAAACCGACGGUUGCCUACAAAAAGGAGUUGUAUCUAUGGGCUCUAUAGCUCAGACCUGCUACUACUCAUGUCAUCAAGUGUAGAGGUUAUCUACAAUUAUUUUUGACCAUAGAUGCUAUCAUCUAUUCAUCUUGUAAAAAAAUUUAACUGAGAGAACCAGUUUGCAAAAGUUACUGUGGUGUCAUAAUAAUCUUAGUUUUUUUCAGUUACUUUGCUACAUAAUCAAGUUUUUUCAUGUAUUUUAAAUUGAAUCUUGAUUCUUCUAAUUACAU